RNAcentral lists this ribosomal RNA (254 nucleotides) under uncultured bacterium. RNAcentral describes it as "partial 16S ribosomal RNA". It matches the Rfam family "Bacterial small subunit ribosomal RNA", at positions 524 to 776 of the family's 1533-position model. The record is from RNAcentral.
UACGUAGGGUGCGAGCGUUAAUCGGAAUUACUGGGCGUAAAGUGUGCGCAGGCGGCUGGGCAAGUCGGGUGUGAAAACUCCAGGCUCAACUUGGAGACGCCACUUGAUACUGCCCUGGCUUGAGUCCGGUAGGGGAGCGCGGAAUUCCUGGUGUAGCGGUGAAAUGCGCAGAGAUCAGGAGGAACACCGGUGGCGAAGGCGGCGCUCUGGGCCGGUACUGACGCUGAGGAGCGAAAGCGUGGGGAGCGAACAGG